CCAAUAGCGUAUAUUAAAGUUGUUGCAGUUAAAAAGCUCGUAGUUGAAUUUCGGGAUCAAUAUUUCGGUCAUGCCGUUGGUAUGCACUGUUAUCAUUGAUUUCUCACCUUCUAAAGAACCGUAAUGCCAUUAAUUUGGUGUUACGGGGAAUUAGGACUGUUACCUUGAAAAAAUUAGAGUGUUUAAAGCAGGCUCACGCUUGAAUACAUUAGCAUGGAAUAAUGAAAUAGGACAUCCGAUUCUAUUUUGUUGGUUUCUAGGAUCGAUGUAAUGAUUAAUAGGGAUAGUUGGGGGCAUUAGUAUUCAAUUGUCAGAGGUGAAAUUCUUGGAUUUAUUGAAGACUAACUACUGCGAAAGCAUUUGCCAAGGAUGUUUUCAUUAAUCAAGAACGAAAGUUAGGGGAUCGAAGACGAUCAGAUACCGUCGUAGUCUUAACCAUAAACUAUGCCGACUAGGGAUCGGAUGAUGUUAAUUUUUUAAUGACUCAUUCGGCGCCUUAC
This 500-nucleotide small RNA is filed under the name uncultured Glomus. Its description in RNAcentral is "SSU rRNA". It matches the Rfam family "Eukaryotic small subunit ribosomal RNA", at positions 591 to 1091 of the family's 1831-position model. Lineage: Eukaryota; Fungi; Glomeromycota; Glomeromycetes; Glomerales; Glomeraceae. The record is from RNAcentral.